Molecule: long non-coding RNA, 1252 nt
Organism: Lycium barbarum (goji berry)
Lineage: Eukaryota; Viridiplantae; Streptophyta; Magnoliopsida; Solanales; Solanaceae
Exons: 3
Source: RefSeq, a predicted model, not a curated record
AAUUUGAAUUUUUUUGCAAGACUAGUGUUAUAUCCCGUAUUUUAAAAGUUCGGAUAUUCCAAGGUAGUCGUGGCAAGUUAAGGGUAAGGCUAUUUUCAAAAAUUAUGUUAAUGUACAAGUUGGUUAUAAAUAUCAAUUAUGGACAUUACUAGAAUGGAAAUGUUAAGAAAGGCCAAGGGUAAGAAGGAAAAUUCGCAAAAGGGUUCAUGGUAAAAUUGCGGAAAGAAUAGGGGCAAAAUGGGAAUUUCACAAAAAAAAAAUAAAAAAAAUCAAGAAUGUUCUUGAAGGGCCCUUGGCCGUGUGGCAUGCCCCUAUAUGUCCACAUUUUUAUUUAAUGGGGGUUAAUUAUGUACAUGUAUGGACAAAGCUUGCAAGAGAAGCCAACCAAGUCAUCUUUUUCAAGAAAACUCUAGAAAAGGAAAAAUGGAAAAAAAAAAAAAAAGAGAAAAAUCUAGAGAGAGGCAUGUGCCCCUCACAUGCCACUAUAACUAUAUAUAUAUAUAUAUAUGUAUGAGUCUUGAAAAAACAAGACAAUUUAUCAUUUACAACUCUAGAAAUUUCAAAAGAAACAAAGAAAAAAAAAAGACACUUUGGAAGAAAAAUAAAGGGCCAAUUUCGGCCAAGCUUGGAGGAAAAAAGAACCUUGGAAAAAUUUCUCAAAAAAUUACUCUCUACUAAUUGGAAGGUCCCUAGCAAGGAGAAGAGGUCAUUGGAACAAGUAGAACAUUUAUUGUUGCAAGAUCAACAUUCUAGCCAAGUGGGAAAUUGAAGAAAAAGGAUUUUGGCGGAUUUGGAACGUGAAUUUGGAGUCGCAUAAGAAGCAGAAAAGGUACACCAGCUGAGCCACAAUUAUCAUAGAAGAUGUUCCAGCGGAGUUGGCGGGCUCCACUUGUGUUUGUUCGUCAGAGUAUAUGAGCUAUGGUGUUUGUUCAAUGUUAGAGACUUUGCAGACAGAGUCAUGAGUAUAGAGUGUCAGCUUGGUAGACGGCUUCAACCGUCACAAUGUUAUUAUGUUUCAUGUCGCGGGUCCCAUAUGAUGAUAGACAUUACUUAUGAAAAAAAAUAUUGGAGGGCUUACCAUGUAUUUAUUUCUUAAUUGAUACAAGAGUUUAUCUAUGUAAUAAGAGUCAGCGGGUUCGCUCGGCUCCAGAUAUGGGGUCGGGUGCCCAUCACACCCUAGUAAAGUCGGGGUGUGACAACUAGUAUAAAUAGUCUUUAAGUAUUUUACAUUAGGGUGGGUUAGUUUUUUGGA